CGUAGGUGAACCUGCGGAAGGAUCAUUGUCGG
RNAcentral lists this ribosomal RNA (32 nucleotides) under Echinodorus cordifolius (Texas mudbaby). RNAcentral describes it as "partial 18S ribosomal RNA". The record is from RNAcentral. Lineage: Eukaryota; Viridiplantae; Streptophyta; Magnoliopsida; Alismatales; Alismataceae. RNAcentral also lists the same sequence under 18 other names.